AGCUCCAAUAGCGUAUAUUAAAGUUGUUGUAGUUAAAAAGCUCGUAGUUGGAUUUCUGCUGAUGACGACCGGUCCGCUCUCUGGGUGAGUAGCUGGCUCGGCCUGGGCAUCUUCUUGGAGAACGUAGCUGCACUUGACUGUGUGGUGCGGUAUCCAAGACCUUUACUUUGAAGAAAUUAGAGUGUUUCAAGCAGGCACACGCCUUGAAUACAUUAGCAUGGAAUAAUAAGAUAGGACCUUGGUUCUAUUUUGUUGGUUUCUAGAGCUGAGGUAAUGAUCAAUAGGGAUAGUUGGGGACAUUCGUAUUUAAUUCUCAGAGGUGAGAUUCUUUGGUUUGUUCAAGACGGACUACUGUGAAAGCAUUUGCCAAGGAUGUUU
RNAcentral lists this ribosomal RNA (378 nucleotides) under uncultured eukaryote. Its description in RNAcentral is "SSU rRNA". It matches the Rfam family "Eukaryotic small subunit ribosomal RNA", at positions 587 to 969 of the family's 1831-position model. The record is from RNAcentral.